AAAGCGUGAGUAAAGCAUUUUGAUUUAGUCACGAUGAGAAGAGUUAAUGGACUCGCCACCCUGACUCGAAACAUUGCCGCAGCCUCCUCCGCCGCUGCAGGCGCGACGUCUCGGCACCUUUUGGUUCAAGCCGCAAUGAUGAGCACUUGGUCAUGUACGAAUUCCUCGCAGAGAAUUGCCGAUCGUUUUGGAAUAUCAAACCCCUCUGUUGCGAGUGGUGUCGCAGGGACCAUGUUCUUCUCUGUUGCGGCAUCGUCUCUGGAGCAAGAGGUACACGCGAAGGAGCCACCACCUGCCGAGAAAUUCCUCCCUAAGGAUGUCGUCCUCUAUCAAUACGAAGCUUGCCCUUUCUGCAACAAGGUUAAAGCAUUCUUGGAUUAUUACAAUAUUCCAUACAAAGUAGUAGAAGUCAACCCAAUCAGUAAGAAGGAGAUCAAGUGGUCCGAUUACAAGAAGGUGCCUAUACUAACAGUUGAUGGAGAACAGAUGGUCGAUUCUUCAGACAUAAUUGACAAGUUGCUCCAAAGGAUUCAUCCAGAUAAUUCUAUUACAAGUGCUGAUGAAGAAAGCAAGUGGCGGGGGUGGGUGGAUAAUCAUCUAGUGCAUGUUUUAUCACCAAACAUUUACCGAACUACUUCUGAGGCUCUUGAAUCGUUUGACUACAUCACCACACAUGGCAAUUUCAGCUUCACAGAGAGGUUGGUAGCUAAGUAUGCUGGAGCUGCAGCAAUGUAUUU
Molecule: unclassified non-coding RNA, 737 nt
Filed under: Hevea brasiliensis (rubber tree)
Lineage: Eukaryota; Viridiplantae; Streptophyta; Magnoliopsida; Malpighiales; Euphorbiaceae
Source: RNAcentral